RNAcentral lists this ribosomal RNA (329 nucleotides) under uncultured bacterium. Its description in RNAcentral is "bacterial SSU rRNA". It matches the Rfam family "Bacterial small subunit ribosomal RNA", at positions 29 to 358 of the family's 1533-position model. The record is from RNAcentral.
AACGAACGUUGGCGGCGUGGAUUAGGCAUGCAAGUCGAACGAAUCCCUGAGGGCUUGCUCUCAGGGGAAGUGGCGAAAGGGGCAGUAAGGCGUGGGUAACCUACCCUGGGACGGGGAUAGCCUUCCUAACGGAAGGGUAAUACCUGGCGAUUCGGCGAGGGACAUCCUCUGGCCGGGAAAUGAACUUCGCCUCGGGAGGGGCUCACGUGAUAUUAGCUUGUUGGUGAGGUAACGGCUCACCAAGGCCGAGAUGUCUAGCGGGUGUGAGAGCACGACCCGCGCACUGGCACUGAGACACUGGCCAGACACCUACGGGUGCUGCAGGUCGA